UACGUAGGGUGCGAGCGUUGUCCGGAAUUAUUGGGCGUAAAGAGCUCGUAGGCGGUGUGUCGCGUCGGCCGUGAAGACCUGGGGCUCAACUCUGGGCGUGCGGUCGAUACGGGCAUCACUUGAGUUCGGCAGGGGAGACUGGAAUUCCUGGUGUAGCGGUGAAAUGCGCAGAUAUCAGGAGGAACACCGAUGGCGAAGGCAGGUCUCUGGGCCACUACUGACGCUGAGACGCGAAAGCGUGGGGAGCAAACAGG
RNAcentral lists this ribosomal RNA (254 nucleotides) under uncultured bacterium. RNAcentral's name for it is "partial 16S ribosomal RNA". It matches the Rfam family "Bacterial small subunit ribosomal RNA", at positions 524 to 776 of the family's 1533-position model. The record is from RNAcentral.